Molecule: small nuclear RNA, 107 nt
Filed under: Diabrotica virgifera virgifera (western corn rootworm)
Lineage: Eukaryota; Metazoa; Arthropoda; Insecta; Coleoptera; Chrysomelidae
Source: RNAcentral
GUACUCGCUUCGGCGGUACAUAUACUAAAAUUGAAACGAUACAGAGAAGAUUAGCAUGGCCCCUGCGCAAGGAUGACACGCAAAAUCGUGAAGCGUUCCACAUUUUU